CAAUAAGCGGAGGAAAAGAAACUAACAAGGAUUCCCCCAGUAACGGCGAGUGAAGAGGGAACAGCCCAAAUUUGUAAUCUGGCCCUUUCAGGGUCCGAGUUGUAAUCUCGAGAACUGUUUUCCGUGCUGGACCGCGUACAAGUCUGUUGGAAUAUAGCUUCAUAGAGGGUGAGAAUCCCGUACAUGCCGCGGACUACCAGUACAAUGUGAUACAGUCUCUAAGAGUCGAGUUGUUUGGGAAUGCAGCUCAAAAUGGGUGGUAAAUUCCAUCUAAGGCUAAAUAUUGGCGAGAGACCGAUAGCGAACAAGUACCGUGAGGGAAAGAUGAAAAGCACUUUGGAAAGAGAGUUAACAGUACGUGAAAUUGUUGAAAGGGAAACGCUUGAAGUCAGUCUUGUACUUUGUUGUUCAGCCUUCGGGUGUAUUCAACUUUGAACAGGCCAGCAUCAGUUUCAGAUGUCGGAUAAGGGUAGAGGAAAUGUAGCAGCCUCGGCUGUGUUAUAGUCCUUUGCUUGAUACGGCGUCCGGGACUGAGGAAUGCAGUGAGCCUUUUGGCAGGUCUUUGACCUU
RNAcentral lists this ribosomal RNA (570 nucleotides) under Septobasidium sp. TUB 011543. Its description in RNAcentral is "LSU rRNA". It matches the Rfam family "Eukaryotic large subunit ribosomal RNA", at positions 44 to 627 of the family's 3401-position model. Lineage: Eukaryota; Fungi; Basidiomycota; Pucciniomycetes; Septobasidiales; Septobasidiaceae. The record is from RNAcentral.